CGGUCCUAAGGUAGCGAAAUUCCUUGUCGGGUAAGUUCCGACCCGCACGAAAGGCGUAACGAUUUGGGCACUGUCUCAACGAGAGACUCGGUGAAAUCAUAGUACCGGUGAAGAUGCCGGUUACCCGCGACAGGACGGAAAGACCCCGUGGAGCUUUACUGUAGCCUGAUAUUGAAAUUCGGUACAGUUUGUACAGGAUAGGUAGGAGCCUUAGAAGCGUGAGCGCUAGCUUACGUGGAGGCAUUGGUGGGAUACUACCCUAAUUGUAUUGGAUUUCUAACCCGCAGCACUUAUCGUGCUGGGAGACAGUGUCAGGCGGGCAGUUUGACUGGGGCGGUCGCCUCCUAAAGAGUAACGGAGGCGCUCAAAGGUUCCCUCAGAAUGGUUGGAAAUCAUUCAUAGAGUGUAAAGGCAUAAGGGAGCUUGACUGCGAGACCUACAAGUCGAGCAGGGUCGAAAGACGGACUUAGUGAUCCGGUGGUUCCGCAUGGAAGGGCCAUCGCUCAACGGAUAAAAGCUACCCCGGGGAUAACAGGCUUAUCUCCCCCAAGAGUUCACAUCGACGGGGAGGUUUGGCACCUCGAUGUCGGCUCAUCGCAUCCUGGGGCUGUAGUCGGUCCCAAGGGUUGGGCUGUUCGCCCAUUAAAGCGGUACGCGAGCUGGGUUCAGAACGUCGUGAGACAGUUCGGUCCCUAUCCGUCGUGGGCGUAGGAAAUUUGAGAGGAGCUGUCCUUAGUACGAGAGGACCGGGAUGGACAUACCUCUGGUGUACCAGUUGUCGUGCCAACGGCAUAGCUGGGUAGCUAUGUAUGGACGGGAUAAGUGCUGAAAGCAUCUAAGCAUGAAGCCCCCCUCGAGAUGAGAUUUCCCAACUUCGGUUAUAAG
Molecule: ribosomal RNA, 885 nt
Filed under: Staphylococcus pseudintermedius
Lineage: Bacteria; Bacillati; Bacillota; Bacilli; Caryophanales; Staphylococcaceae
Description: partial 23S ribosomal RNA
Rfam family: Bacterial large subunit ribosomal RNA
Source: RNAcentral